This is a long non-coding RNA of Bactrocera neohumeralis, 655 nucleotides long. RefSeq lists it as uncharacterized. NCBI's taxonomy places the organism in Eukaryota, Metazoa, Arthropoda, Insecta, Diptera, Tephritidae. The record is from RefSeq and is a predicted model, not a curated record. The transcript is spliced from 3 exons.
UGUUUGAGUUGCUUACAAAAUAUAGAAAACGACAAUCGAUUAAUAUCUAUGAUGAUCUCUAUUCAGUAUAUUCAAAGUGGCAGCAAGAGUUCUUUUUAGUUUGUGACUUGCUAACUAUCAGGUCUAAAAUUUGCGUCAAUAUUUUGAGACUAACGCUAGAGACUGUCUAGUGAAUAGUAACUGGACACAAAUUGAGACCUUACCUCAAAAUGCGUCAAGUAUGGACUAGAGAUUGGUUACAGGAUCCCGCUAUUAAUUUGUGUACAAUGUCAGUAUUGCCGCAACCAUUCUGCCAGGAAUAAUGGGAUGCCAAACUUAUUCCAGUGCUAUGUUCGUAAAUGCAUCAUGACGAUUGCAUAACAAACAGAACGUUCAGAAAUGCCAAUAUUGCAGCACUGCAAUAAUCAAGCGUUCAAAAAGACAACACUUCUAUCAGCUGUCACUCAUAAUUUCUAUCAAAAAAUUGUUUACUGCAUUUAACUACGAUGUCUGACGAAAAUGAAAAUCUCAGUAAUGCGGAGACACAGUUAUUGCUGAGAAAACGGUAGAAUAUGGAGGACGAGUUUAAAUCGGGUAGAAGGAAAAAAAAUGUAUUGUGGAAGAAAGUUGUGACCGAAGUUAAAAAUGAAAAUGAAAACAAUAAAAAUUAAAUUGA